This 451-nucleotide ribosomal RNA is filed under the name uncultured bacterium. RNAcentral describes it as "bacterial SSU rRNA". It matches the Rfam family "Bacterial small subunit ribosomal RNA", at positions 354 to 796 of the family's 1533-position model. The record is from RNAcentral.
GUGGGGAAUAUUGGACAAUGGGGGGAACCCUGAUCCAGCCAUGCCGCGUGUGUGAAGAAGGCCUUUUGGUUGUAAAGCACUUUAAGCGAGGAGGAGGCUACCGAGAUUAAUACUCUUGGAUAGUGGACGUUACUCGCAGAAUAAGCACCGGCUAACUCUGUGCCAGCAGCCGCGGUAAUACAGAGGGUGCGAGCGUUAAUCGGAUUUACUGGGCGUAAAGCGCGCGUAGGUGGCCAAUUAAGUCAAAUGUGAAAUCCCCGAGCUUAACUUGGGAAUUGCAUUCGAUACUGGUUGGCUAGAGUAUGGGAGAGGAUGGUAGAAUUCCAGGUGUAGCGGUGAAAUGCGUAGAGAUCUGGAGGAAUACCGAUGGCGAAGGCAGCCAUCUGGCCUAAUACUGACACUGAGGUGCGAAAGCAUGGGGAGCAAACAGGAUUAGAAACCCGUGUAGUCC